UGCGGCUGGAUCACCUCCUUC
RNAcentral lists this ribosomal RNA (21 nucleotides) under Rhizobium leguminosarum. RNAcentral describes it as "partial 16S ribosomal RNA". The record is from RNAcentral. Lineage: Bacteria; Pseudomonadati; Pseudomonadota; Alphaproteobacteria; Hyphomicrobiales; Rhizobiaceae.